Long non-coding RNA from Leptinotarsa decemlineata (Colorado potato beetle), 893 nucleotides. RefSeq lists it as uncharacterized. The record is from RefSeq and is a predicted model, not a curated record. NCBI's taxonomy places the organism in Eukaryota, Metazoa, Arthropoda, Insecta, Coleoptera, Chrysomelidae.
UGUUUUUAGAAACAAGAUCUCAAUUAGAGUCCUUCUAUUAGUUGGGUAUAUCAACUGACGUAUGGUCAUCAUGAAAACAGUUCCACCUCAGUUGAUGUUUUGAGUUCAUAUAAUAAAAAUGUAUCUUUCACUAUCUUCCACAGCCCUUUGGUGCUGUCAGUUGCUUCCCAAGGAAAUAUGGCUGAUAAUACUUCGAAUGUUGGAUCCUCUCUCAUUAUUUUCUGCUUCUAAAGUAGAUCCAAAUUGGUUGUCCAUCUGUCUAGAAAACAGACUCUUAAAGAAAACGCUACAAUUUGGAUUACAACUCCAUAAUCGCAAAAUGUGUGAUGGCAGUUAUUCCAGUUUAAGUACAAUAAGGAAAGGAAAAAGGGACAGAGAACUAAAAAUCACUGAAUGUUUCACUCCACUUAAGAAACAAAGAAAUAUAUAAUAUUUUUAUGGGGAUAUGGGAAGAAUUUAUCACGAUAAUAUGAAAAUCUACAGUUCCAUUUGCAGCAGGCAAGUUACCUGCAGAUCUGAAGAAAUAAACAAAUUUGUUUGUGCAAAUCUCUUCGCCUUCCAAUGGCAUGGAAUGAAAAAUGGCAUGGACGGGGAUAUGGUGGUGAUAUCUUCCCCUUUAAUUCAAUCAGUACUGUCUGCAACAUCAUUUGGAUUAUUCGACUCGAAUGUUACAAAAAAGCAGCAGUGUGUAAAUGAAGUUUGAGAGAUAUUCUCAAAGAAGUGAAAAUAUUUUUUUGUUGAAAAUUGAUAAAUUUCUUUAGUGACAUUGAGUUUUGGAAACUGAAAUUUCUAUGAGAUACUGAGGUAGAUAAUAUGAAAAAAUUGAAUAAAUAUAUGGAAAAAUAGUGAAUCUAAAGGACUAUGAAAGUAUAUUAAAAUUCAUACCAAACAAA